Molecule: long non-coding RNA, 644 nt
Organism: Mastomys coucha (southern multimammate mouse)
Lineage: Eukaryota; Metazoa; Chordata; Mammalia; Rodentia; Muridae
Exons: 3
Source: RefSeq, a predicted model, not a curated record
AAGACUUGAUGAAAGCCUGUUUCCCUGAUUGCUUUUACCCCUUGAACCAUGCAUUGAUUUCUGUUCAUCUGAGAAGGUCUACACCUAUUCCAGUCUUCAUAAACUAGUUUUUCCCCUGGGAGAAUCCCAAGGAAAGGAGAGGUCAAUGGCACAGAUAAGUUGAGGCCAGUUGUGGCCAGUAUGCCUCCAGGAACUGUCAGAAGUUUUGUGCUGCUGAGCAGUGACUAGAGCCGAAGACCAAUGGAUUUAAUCUGAUAGAGAUGUCAGCUCUCUCCAUACCACACUGCCUCAGACUAGAAUGGAGCUGGUACUGAUGCAGCAGAACACCAGCUACUGAACAGAGCAGCAGAAGACCCUGAACUUGAAGACGAGUGAGCACUUCCAUGAGCACUGUAAUAAAGUCCAGUCUAUACUUUCUGGCACAUUCCUUCUUCCUGUGCUGUCCUCGGGUUAUACUGGAAGCUUUCACAUGGUUUCCUUGGUGGCUGUGAAGUCUUCUCAAAAUGACCUUUGGUUAUACAUGACGAAUCCUGAGCAUCAGUGAUACAACUGUAUUUUCCUUGUUGGAGAAACUGAACCAGAACUACACAGCUAAGAUGAAGCUGUAACUCAUGUGCUUCAUAUCUGGAUAUUUUCCUUAGCAA